Pan troglodytes (chimpanzee) is the source of this 119-nucleotide non-coding RNA. The record is from Rfam. Lineage: Eukaryota; Metazoa; Chordata; Mammalia; Primates; Hominidae.
CUUAUCAACCAUACCACCCUAAAUGCAGCCGAUUUCUUCUGAUCUCAGAAGCUAAGCAGGGUUGGGCCUGGUUAGAACUUGGCUGAAAGACCACCUGGGAAUACCGGGUGCUGUAUUUC